This 351-nucleotide ribosomal RNA is filed under the name uncultured bacterium. RNAcentral's name for it is "bacterial SSU rRNA". It matches the Rfam family "Bacterial small subunit ribosomal RNA", at positions 29 to 407 of the family's 1533-position model. The record is from RNAcentral.
AGCGAACGCUGGCGGCAGGCCUAACACAUGCAAGUCGAACGGAUCCUUCGGGAUUAGUGGCGGACGGGUGAGUAACACGUGGGAACGUGCCUUUUGGUUCGGAACAACUCAGGGAAACUUGAGCUAAUACCGGAUAAGCCCUUACGGGGAAAGAUUUAUCGCCGAAAGAUCGGCCCGCGUCUGAUUAGCUAGUUGGUGUGGUAACGGCGCACCAAGGCGACGAUCAGUAGCUGGUCUGAGAGGAUGAUCAGCCACAUUGGGACUGAGACACGGCCCAAACUCCUACGGGAGGCAGCAGUGGGGAAUAUUGGACAAUGGGCGCAAGCCUGAUCCAGCAAUGCCGCGUGUGUG